Mustela lutreola (European mink) is the source of this 1671-nucleotide long non-coding RNA. RefSeq lists it as uncharacterized. NCBI's taxonomy places the organism in Eukaryota, Metazoa, Chordata, Mammalia, Carnivora, Mustelidae. The transcript is spliced from 3 exons. The record is from RefSeq and is a predicted model, not a curated record.
GCGGCGUUCGGGGACUCUAAGGACGCGGUGGCUUAGCGCUGGGAGGUGGAGCCGGCGUGCUUUGAGGGUUUUUUUGCUGUGUUUGAAUAGUUUGAAUGAUAAUACAUCAGAAUGAACAGGAAUCAGAAAGGAAUAACUUUGAAUGAGCCUACAUUAUCUUUAAGAUCACUCAUUCUGAGGAAGAAAGCUCCCAUGUCAGGAAGACAAUCAUGCAGUUUUGCAGAGAUCCACGUAGUGAGGAACUGAGGUGUCCUGCAACUUGCAAGCCGUGUGAGUGGCACAUCUGAGAUUGGUCCUCCAUCCCCAGUCAAGACUUGAGGCCCAGCUGACAUUGUGACUUCAGACCAAUGAUAUAUGUUUAGCCAGAACAGCUCAACUAAGCUGUUGCUAAAUUCCUGCCCCACAGAAACCGUGUGAGAUAACAAAUGUUUAUUAUUGCUUUAAGCUGCCAGUUUUUGGAAUGAAGUGUUAUACAAUAAUAGAUAACUAAGACACUAAUCAGAAAGGAUGCAGACACUGGUUUACUGCUUAUGCAGCAUCCUGGAGCCUUCUCUGCUAUCCCAGGCAUUGUUCUUUAGUUGGCGGGGGGUGGGGGGGGUGGGGAGGUGAUUCUGGGUAAACGGCUAUUUAUCAGUGAAUGCAAAGUACUUUGAUAACUUAUCACCCAGUACAGCCAUACCAAUUUUGUAUCACUCAUGCUUAUGUAGUCUCAAGACGUUGGGAAGCCCACCUGGCCCCCCAGUUAGCACUGCAGCCCUUCUGUCUCUCCACAAACGCCUCCAGGUCCUGUGGCUCUCCUAACUACUUCUGGAUCACAUGGGAAUUUGAGGUUCCCUCCUUCGGCAUACCCUCCAAUCUUUUAUUUGUUCUGAGUGCUCUCAUCUCCGUGACACCCUGACUAGACAAUAAGGCUUCUCUCCCUGGGAGCCUCUAAACUUGAAUUUUAUAGCUCCUCUUGAGGCUCAUCUUCCUUAUCACUCCUGCCUCCAUUCCCCAACCCCAUGAAAGCAAUAUUUCAGUCUCAAGAGAAGUACCCAUACACUUCAGCGCUUGAUUCCCCAAGCAUUGUCUUGGGAUUUUUCCAGAGGCAGCUACGUAUAUCCUCUCUGAUGAGUUUUGAAAACCAAAACCAAAGGGAUGAGGUUCCUGACUUCCCAGUUUUCUCCCCUCACUCUCUCCCUGAGACAGUAAUUCAGGGUCUGGAGGAGGCGGAGGCAAGUUUCACUCUCAGAGAGACAGACAGAGAAAGAGAAUAUCACUUCUUAACCUAAAAAUGUAUCCCACUGUCCCAUCUCUAGAGAAAUAAGUGUCUGCCCGCUAAGAGCUGUUAUAUUGGCUGGGAUGUGAUUAUUUCAUCAAAGAUCAACAGAUUGUAAUUAAUAGAUCUUUGCUCUGAUUCUAUGAUCAUAAAGUAACUCUUUGGUUUGCUUUUCCAAGUACCUAGAUACCUUGAAAAAGGUAUUUUCCUCACAAAGCCAACAUCAUAUACUUCAUAUUUUUUAUUUCUUUGCUAGAGAGAUCUUUGCCUGACUUCCCACAAUCGGUGUUAGGUGUCCUGCUCAUAUGUUCCAGUAUUCCUUCUCUCUAAAAGCACUUUUCCCACUGUGUUAUAAUCAUUACAUAUCAUCAUUUGUGUCUAUCACUAGACUCCAAGCUCCAUUCAACAUCUGU